This 490-nucleotide ribosomal RNA is filed under the name uncultured bacterium. RNAcentral describes it as "partial 16S ribosomal RNA". It matches the Rfam family "Bacterial small subunit ribosomal RNA", at positions 30 to 507 of the family's 1533-position model. The record is from RNAcentral.
AUUGAACGCUGGCGGCAGGCCUAACACAUGCAAGUCGAACGGUAACAGAAGGCAGCUUGCUGCUUUGCUGACGAGUGGCGGACGGGUGAGUAAUGUCUGGGAAACUGUCUGAUGGAGGGGGAUAACUACUGGAAACGGUAGCUAAUACCGCAUAACGUCGCAAGACCAAAGAGGGGGACCUUCGGGCCUCUUGCCAUCGGAUGUGCCCAGAUGGGAUUAGCUAGUAGGUGGGGUAAAGGCUCACCUAGGCGACGAUCCCUAGCUGGUCUGAGAGGAUGACCAGCCACACUGGAACUGAGACACGGUCCAGACUCCUACGGGAGGCAGCAGUGGGGAAUAUUGCACAAUGGGCGGAAGCCUGAUGCAGCCAUGCCGCGUGUAUGAAGAAGGCCUUCGGGUUGUAAAGUACUUUCAGCGGGGAGGAAGGGAGUAAAGUUAAUACCUUUGCUGAUUGACGUUACCCGCAGAAGAAGCACCGGCUAACUCCGUG